UCAGGAAGUCCUGGUGGGAGACUCGCCCCGGAGUCCUGGAGGUACCUGAAAACUUCCUCGAGCUGCAGUUGCUGUGCCGGCUUCCUAGGACAUUCAUCAGCUCGUCCUGUCACCCUGCCAGAACCCAUGAUAUUUGGCAGAUAGAAUCUUUGUACUCCAAGACUAUAGGAUACAUAUGGAAAAUAGAUGUACUGUAUCUGCUUGGUAAAAAGAAGUCGAACUUCACCAACGUGUCAGCUUUUAGUUUUCAAACCUGGUUGUGAAAUUUCAAGAAAACUUCCAAUAUUUGAAUCUGUGAGAAGAACAGCAAAAAGAAUGAGUGUGGCUCUGGGAAACACUCUACAGGGUUUCUUAACCUUCAAAGAUGUGGCUCCAGAGUUCACACUAGAGGAAUGGGAAAGUCUCAAUUAUACUCAGCGGGCACUGUACAUGGACGUGAUUUUGGAGACGUACAACAAUCUAUUGUCUGUGGAAAAUAAUCUAAGAUAGGUGGAAAACAUGGGAAUGUCUUAGAAC
Molecule: long non-coding RNA, 516 nt
Filed under: Rattus norvegicus (Norway rat)
Lineage: Eukaryota; Metazoa; Chordata; Mammalia; Rodentia; Muridae
Description: long non-coding RNA NONRATT023827
Source: RNAcentral